UACGGAGGAUGCGAGCGUUAUCCGGAUUUAUUGGGUUUAAAGGGUGCGUAGGCGGCAUGUCAAGUCAGCGGUAAAAGCCCGGGGCUCAACCCCGGCGAGCCGUUGAUACUGACGGGCUAGAGAGGGCGAGAGGUACGCGGAAUGCGCAGUGUAGCGGUGAAAUGCAUAGAUAUUGCGCAGAACUCCGAUUGCGAAGGCAGCGUACUGGCGCCUGUCUGACGCUGAGGCACGAAAGCGUGGGGAUCGAACAGG
This 252-nucleotide ribosomal RNA is filed under the name uncultured bacterium. Its description in RNAcentral is "partial 16S ribosomal RNA". It matches the Rfam family "Bacterial small subunit ribosomal RNA", at positions 524 to 776 of the family's 1533-position model. The record is from RNAcentral.